GACAGCAGUAGCCGCGGGAAAACGCAGGUGGCAAGCGUUGUCCGGAAUUAUUGGGCGUAAAGGGCUCGCAGGCGGUUUCUUAAGUCUGAUGUGAAAGCCCCCGGCUCAACCGGGGAGGGUCAUUGGAAACUGGGAAACUUGAGUGCAGAAGAGGAGAGUGGAAUUCCACGUGUAGCGGUGAAAUGCGUAGAGAUGUGGAGGAACACCAGGGCGAAGGCGACUCUCUGGUCUGUAGCUGACGCUGAGGAGCGAAAGCGUGGGGAGCGAACAGGAUUAGAUACCCCCGUAGUCCCUGUCUCUUAUACA
Molecule: ribosomal RNA, 306 nt
Filed under: uncultured bacterium
Lineage: Bacteria
Description: partial 16S ribosomal RNA
Rfam family: Bacterial small subunit ribosomal RNA
Source: RNAcentral